CCAAUUUAAUUAAAUUUAGAAACUUAAGAAUACAAAAUUUAUGUUUGGGCACUGUUUAAAAUAGCCAAAACUUUAAAGAAAAACUUAUGAUUUUCCAGUUUUUGGAUACAGUUAAACCUCAAAUUUUCUAAACGGUCUCAAGUACAAAAACCAAAACAAUACGGUAAAUCACUAAGCGGAAGAGAAUUGUAAAUGUCCCCUAUGGCGAUCACGCUUCCUUCCUUCCCCUCGCCGGUUUGCCACCUUUGUUACCUUUGCCUAAAAAAUGAAACAUAAAAGGGGUGGGUAUAAAAAUACUCAGUAAGAGACUCACUAUCGGUCCUGUCAGGGGAAAAUAAAUUAUUAACGUCCUAUUGGAAAACCAUGUACAGUCACAGUCUUGGGAUCCCGUAGGAGGAUACACAUUUUAGUCUAACGUCCUUAUUUCAGUCUAGUGUUCUGCAGAAACACUUAUCAGUCUAAUGCUCCCGAAUGAUGCAUAAAAAUUGGUGAUCCCGUAGGACACCUACAAGGCACACAUAUCUCAAUAAAACUAACAAUUUUCCCCUCAGUCCAUUCUAAACCUUAAUUAAUCAAUCAAUUUGCAAAUUCAAAAUAAUUCGACACCUUUACAGUCAAUUUAUGCAAUCCAACACCUACUCAACAUUGUUGUAACAAUUCCUCAACAAAAAAACUUAUACACAAGUAACCCUCUUCUUAAUUCAGUUAAUUUAAUUUAGUUCUUUAACCACAUGACAGUUCAGUCAUCACAACCAACCAAGCAUAUGUACCUGUCAAUCCAUCUCAAUCCACACAGCCAAACAAAUCAAAUAAGAUUUGCAUAUCAGCCAGACAGUCAAAAUAAGAUUUGCAUAUCAGUCCAUUAGACAAUACAUCUCAAUUUCGCCGUUGAGUCCAAUAGUAGGAACCCUUACCUCAAAGUUAGGGAAGCUCCCUAAUCAAUUAAGGUCCACGAAACAAUCCUAAGCACAAUAUUGCAAAAUUCGAUUACUCUCACAAUACAUAUCUCAUUUACUUUCCUCAAAGUAGAUUUUUUGCUUACUAAAUGUGGCUAACCGAAAUCAAAAUUCACAAAUUUGUUUUAGUGGCUAACCGAAAUCAAAAUUCACAAAUUUGUUGUGAAUUCAUGUGACCCAAGGCUACUUCCAACACCUUCCAGAAUCUAUCAUUUGAACCAAUUAACCAUUAAAAUUCAUAAAAAAUUUACAAUACAAAACCAUCAAUCCUACAAUUUUCAUUCUUACCACAACUACCAGAGUAUGGCAGAAACUACAACGAUUAAAGGAAUGAGAUCUGCACGUAUAAACCGGAUUGGGGAACCGGCAACAGCUAUUUCACAGCCGGCGGACGAGGAAGUGGCACGGCACACAACGACAUGCAGUUGUCGGAUUGUGAACGGGGACAGGCGCAAUCAAAACGCAAUCCGGAUUCAACGAACGACCUGCAACUUGCAACAGAUGAUUCACGACGAAGGGAUGGCGUGCAGCAGAGAGAUGGCGUACGGUGAUUCGCAGCUCGGCUGUGCAACCCGAACGGAAGAACGAUGCAGCGGCGACAGAACGAAAAGAAAAGAUCAGACACUGGCGGAAUCUUGGAUUUUGGAUGGCACGGCGUCGCAGAUCUGAACGACGACUGCAAGGUGACGCGUACGGCUUGCUUCGCGAAUGGAGACAGAGAUGGCGGCCGACGGUUGCAGACGUAGCAGAUGAAGACGCGCUGCGGCUGGGUAGGGUAAAAAAGAAAGAGAAACGGAAGAAGAGGAGAUUGGGGUUGAGGUGGCCGGCGGCUGCAAACUGAAGGAAGAAAGAAGAGAAAAAAAACGGAAAAGAAAAGAGAAAAGAAGAAGAAAAAGAUUUUUCUUUUUCUUUUUCUUUUUUUAUAAUAAAUAUAAUAUUAAUAUAUAAUAAUAACAAUAAAUAUAUAUUAUUAUUAUAACAUUUCUAAUCCUUUUCUCUCCUAAUUUUUUUCUUUUUUUUAAAAAAAUAAAUCUUCAAAUAAAAAUAUAAUUUAAUUUAAAAGUAAGAUACUUGAAAGAAGAAGAAGAAAAAAAAAAGAAAGAAGAAGAAGAAGAAAAACAAAAAGAAAGAAGAAAGAAGAACAAGAACAAGAAGAAAAGGAAGAAGAAAGAAGAAGAAGAACAAAACAAAAAGAACGAAGGAGCUUAAUUGCUGAAGGCGAAGCAUAACGAAGAAGUCUGAUCGCUUCUCCUAGGGCGGUAGAUUUGGUGGCAAAAACCUGAUCGUUCCUAGGAGAAGCUCGACGAUGAAGAAGCUUGAUCGCUCCUGCUAGGGCGAUAGAUCUGAUGGCAAGAGCCAUAUCAUUCCUAGAAGAAGCUCAACGACGAAGAAGUCCAACGAUGAAGAAGCCCGAUCGAUCCUACUAGGGCGGUAGAUCUAAUGACAAAAGUCUGAUCGUCCCUAAAAGAAACUCGAUGACGAAGAAUUCCAACGACGAAGAAGUUCGAUCACUCCUACUAGGACAGUAGAUCUGACGGCAAAAGCCCGAUCGUCCCUAGUAAAAGCUCGACGACAAAGAAGUCUGAUGAUGAAGAAUCCUGAUCGCUCCUACUAGGGCUGUAGAUCUGACGGAAAAAGCCCGAUCGUCCCUACAAGAAGCUUGACGACGAAGAAGUCUAAUUGGUUCUACUAGGGUGGUAGAUCUGACGGAAAAAGCUCGAUCGUCCAUAGAAGAAGCUCGAUCGCUCCUACUAGGACGAUGGAUCUAACAAAAAAAGUCUGAUCGGUCCUAGAAGAAGCUCGACGACGAAGAAGCCCGAUCACUCCUACUAGGGCGGUAGAUCUGACGGCAAAAGUCUGAUCGUCCUUAGAAGAAGCUCGACGACGAAGAAGCCUGAUCGCUCCUACUAGGGCGAUAGAUCUGACGGCAAAAGUCUGAUCGUUCCUAGAAGAAGCUCAACGACGAAGAUGUAACACCUCGAACUCUAAGGUAAUUAAUUUUAAUCAGAUUGCUCUAAUUUAGGACUUUUAAUUUUAGUUGGGUGUUACUUUGUUGUUUUGGCUUAGAAAAGAAAUCUAUUUAAUGGGAAAGAAAAGAAGUGAAAGUGGAAAAGUUAAUAAUAUAAUAAUAUCAAUAUCAUGACAUAAGUAUUCUUUUUUCUUUCGUUUCGUAGCAUAAUUUUUUUUCUUAAAAAAAUUGUUCUUUCUUUUUCCGUUUCGUAAUAUAUAUUUCGGUCAUGUUCCUCCUAUUUUGUUUAAUUUUUUAUUGUUCAGUUCAUCUUCUUGUCAUGUUUGACAUAUAA
Molecule: long non-coding RNA, 3259 nt
Filed under: Cucumis sativus (cucumber)
Lineage: Eukaryota; Viridiplantae; Streptophyta; Magnoliopsida; Cucurbitales; Cucurbitaceae
Description: long non-coding RNA (CSAT_LNC001615)
Source: RNAcentral